Trichechus manatus latirostris (Florida manatee) is the source of this 75-nucleotide small nucleolar RNA. RefSeq annotates it as small nucleolar RNA SNORD113/SNORD114 family. NCBI's taxonomy places the organism in Eukaryota, Metazoa, Chordata, Mammalia, Sirenia, Trichechidae. The transcript has a single exon. The record is from RefSeq and is a predicted model, not a curated record.
UGGACCAUUGAUGAGAUUGGAUGUUGUCUGAAUCAAGAAUUUUGAUUAAACCUUAUCUGCAAUUCCAAGGUCCAU